CUGCAAAGUACGAAUUUGUUCAUGAAAAAAAUAGAUUUGUACUCAUCAGAGCAAGGAUUCUAACGCUCUAUCUGCAUUUGGAAGCCAUUUCUGACAAACAUGACUGAAGCCGGAUUGUGAAUUUCAGGCCUUAGGCCCUAAGAAGCUAGCAAAACCAAUAAACCAAAAUGAGAACAAGCAGUCAAGCAGUAGGGCUGUUAUCUAUUAGUUGCAGUCA
Pelobates cultripes (western spadefoot toad) is the source of this 217-nucleotide non-coding RNA. The record is from the annotation of a GenBank genome assembly. Lineage: Eukaryota; Metazoa; Chordata; Amphibia; Anura; Pelobatidae.